This 497-nucleotide ribosomal RNA is filed under the name uncultured bacterium. RNAcentral's name for it is "partial 16S ribosomal RNA". It matches the Rfam family "Bacterial small subunit ribosomal RNA", at positions 28 to 507 of the family's 1533-position model. The record is from RNAcentral.
GAUGAACGCUGGCGGCGUGCCUAAUACAUGCCAGUCGAGCGAACGGACGAGAAGCUUGCUUCUCUGAUGUUAGCGGCGGACGGGUGAGUAACACGUGGAUAACCUACCUAUAAGACUAGGAUAACUUCGGGAAACCGGAGCUAAUACCGGAUAAUAUUUUGAACCGCAUGGUUCAAAAGUGAAAGACGGUCUUGCUGUCACUUAUAGAUGGAUCCGCGCUGCAUUAGCUAGUUGGUAAGGUAACGGCUUACCAAGGCAACGAUGCAUAGCCGACCUGAGAGGGUGAUCGGCCACACUGGAACUGAGACACGGUCCAGACUCCUACGGGAGGCAGCAGUAGGGAAUCUUCCGCAAUGGGCGAAAGCCUGACGGAGCAACGCCGCGUGAGUGAUGAAGGUCUUCGGAUCGUAAAACUCUGUUAUUAGGGAAGAACAUAUGUGUAAGUAACUGUGCACAUCUUGACGGUACCUAAUCAGAAAGCCACGGCUAACUACGUG